AUUGCCCUAGUAACGGCGAGUGAAGCGGCAACAGCUCAAAUUUGAAAUCUGGCUUCGGCCCGAGUUGUAAUUUGCAGAGGAAGCUUUAGGCGCGGCACUUUCUGAGUCCCCUGGAACGGGGCGCCAUAGAGGGUGAGAGCCCCGUAUAGUUAGAUGCCUAGCCUGUGUAAAGCUCCUUCGACGAGUCGAGUAGUUUGGGAAUGCUGCUCAAAAUGGGAGGUAAAUUUCUUCUAAAGCUAAAUACCGGCCAGAGACCGAUAGCGCACAAGUAGAGUGAUCGAAAGAUGAAAAGCACUUUGAAAAGAGGGUUAAAUAGCACGUGAAAUUGUUGAAAGGGAAGCGCUUGUGACCAGACUUGCGCCGGGCAGAUCAUCCGGUGUUCUCACCGGUGCACUCUGCCCGGCUCAGGCCAGCAUCGGUUCUCGCGGGGGGAUAAAGGCCCUGGGAACGUAGCUCCUCCGGGAGUGUUAUAGCCCGGGGCGUAAUGCCCUCGCGGGGACCGAGGUUCGCGCAUCUGCAAGGAUGCUGGCGUAAUGGUCAUCAGCGACCCGUCUUGAAACACGGACCAAGGAGUCAAGGUUUUGCGCGAGUGUUUGGGUGUAAAACCCGCACGCGUAAUGAAAGUGAACGUAGGUGAGAGCUUCGGCGCAUCAUCGACCGAUCCUGAUGUUUUCGGAUGGAUUUGAGUAGGAGCGUUAAGCCUUGGACCCGAAAGAUGGUGAACUAUGCUUGGAUAGGGUGAAGCCAGAGGAAACUCUGGUGGAGGCUCGCAGCGGUUCUGACGUGCAAAUCGAUCGUCAAAUCUGAGCAUGGGGCGAAAGACUAAUCGAA
This 831-nucleotide ribosomal RNA is filed under the name Chaetomium globosum. Its description in RNAcentral is "LSU rRNA". It matches the Rfam family "Eukaryotic large subunit ribosomal RNA", at positions 74 to 939 of the family's 3401-position model. Lineage: Eukaryota; Fungi; Ascomycota; Sordariomycetes; Sordariales; Chaetomiaceae. The record is from RNAcentral.